Molecule: long non-coding RNA, 299 nt
Filed under: Brassica napus (rape)
Lineage: Eukaryota; Viridiplantae; Streptophyta; Magnoliopsida; Brassicales; Brassicaceae
Description: long non-coding RNA (BNAP_LNC025440)
Source: RNAcentral
CAAAAUCAAUAUUGUACAACCAAAUCAAAUUCACACGAGAUUUGAAAACUGCAUGACGAACCUCGCCGCCGAGAUAGCAGAGAUCACCCGAAGAUGUCAAUCCGGUGUCGUGAAACGCCGAUCGACCAAGAACCCUAACCAUGUGCGGCUCCACCAUAUGUUUCCCUCCCAAUAUCUUCAGUAUCGUCGUCUUCCCUGAUUUUUUUUUAUUAUUAUCUAAUUUCAGAUCCUACACAUACGCAUUUCAAGCUCCUUAUAGAGAUAAACGAAUUUUCACGUACCGGCGCCGUUAGAUCCGA